UACAGAGGGUGCGAGCGUUAAUCGGAAUUACUGGGCGUAAAGCGUGCGUAGACGGUUAUUUAAGUCGGAUGUGAAAGCCCCGGGCUCAACCUGGGAAUUGUAUUCGAGACUGAAUAGCUAGGGUACGGUAGAGGGAAGCGGAAUUUCCGGUGUAGCGGUGAAAUGCGUAGAUAUCGGAAGGAACAUCAGUGGCGAAAGCGGCUUCCUGGACCAGUACCGACGUUCAGGCACGAAAGCGUGGGGAGCAAACAGG
Molecule: ribosomal RNA, 253 nt
Filed under: uncultured bacterium
Lineage: Bacteria
Description: partial 16S ribosomal RNA
Rfam family: Bacterial small subunit ribosomal RNA
Source: RNAcentral